CCUUCUGUCCCCUUCUCAUUCUCAAUAAUAGUAACCAGAAUUUACUGACUGAUUACUAUUUAUGUAUCAGGCAUAGCAUGUGCCAGGCAUAGUU
Long non-coding RNA from Sapajus apella (tufted capuchin), 94 nucleotides. RefSeq lists it as uncharacterized. Lineage: Eukaryota; Metazoa; Chordata; Mammalia; Primates; Cebidae. The transcript is spliced from 3 exons. The record is from RefSeq and is a predicted model, not a curated record.